RNAcentral lists this long non-coding RNA (208 nucleotides) under Elaeis guineensis (African oil palm). Its description in RNAcentral is "long non-coding RNA (EGUI_LNC055624)". The record is from RNAcentral. Lineage: Eukaryota; Viridiplantae; Streptophyta; Magnoliopsida; Arecales; Arecaceae.
GGAUGAGAGAUGGAUGAAAAUGAAUAGGAGAAGAAGGUUUGGGAGUAUUUUUCAUGGAUUUUGCUGGUUAGGGCUCGAAAUUUGGUGGAGAUCAAGAGGGCAAGCCAUGAGAGAGAGAGAAAGCUUGGAAAUUUGGGAUGAUGAUCCAAGAUUUUGUGAGGUUUUGAGGUUGGUGGAAAUCUAAGAGAGAAUUCUUAGGUUUGGGAUG